GUGGCCAGGGAGCCGCAGGCAAGGGACUAAGGGGAGGGGGGCUCAGUGCCAGCUGCUUAAAAAUGCCCCUGUGGCAGCGAGGGGCACCAGAGGCUGGGUCUAAUUAGUUGAGAAGCAGUGACACCCCCAACCACUCCCCAAACAGGCUGGCUCCCGUCUCCAGGCCCCAAGGAGCCACACCUGGACCAGACCCCAGGAAAGACAUGUGGUGGAAACCCUACGGCCCUGGAGCCCAAGGAGAGCAACGGCUGUAACAAGUGCACAGGCAAGGGCGCUAGCUGGUGGGAGCCACCCCGCCAUGCUGAUGUCAGAGAAGCAAGAACUCUGGAGAAGCAGCCUCCUGGGACCAGAGGAGGGCCAGCAGCAGGCAGCCCGGAGACAGAACUAAUGUGUCUGGGGGUGAGAGGACGGGUGUGACUGCUGAAACUUCCUUUCUUGGUGAUUCCACAUCACUCCUUUCUGAUCCCUGAGCCUGUGCCACGCCCUGUGUGAUGUGCCGGGGACACCAGGCUCACCCACGCCUCUCCAAGCCUCCCAACAGAAGACAGAGGUCCCCCACAGCCAGAGACAUUUCCUGAAGACAUGGGGAACACAGAGGCAGAAACAGCCCAUCCACCCAGGAGCUGUCCCCCACACUGCCGGGAGCCGGCACCCAGAGCCGCCAGGUAAAACUGAGGCCACCUGGUUCAACAUCACCUUUCACAGAAGGGGAAGCAGCCACAGAAAGAAGGGCCUCGUUAAGAAGUGGAACCUGGGACCCCCAAGCGGUGUCUCUCAUCCUGACUGGGGAUCCAGAGUAGGAGGGAGCCUUUGGUGGGACACAAAGGAACAGAACGAGGCACCAACAGCAAGGGGCAAGCAGAUUCAAGGGCCACAGAGGAGAUGGAGGCAAACACCUUCCCCUGGUCAGAGGCUGUGCCUCAGCCCUUCUCCCUGCAUCAGUUUCUCCUUCAGAAGCAUGGGACUACCUCCCAUCUAGUUCUCGUUUCUAAACCUAGGGGAGAUGCUAUCUUUGCUGCAAUAAUCUUAGCCUACAUCUUGGAAUGGAAAUGGCCUUGGUGGAAAUGGUCUUCAACUCCUCUGGUCCAAGCUCAGGCCCUGUGACCCUGGAACAAUCCCCUUCCUGGUCCUCCAUGUAGGAGCAAUAACAUUCCCUUGCCAGCAGCACCAGCCAUUCUGAUGAUUAAAUGGUAUCGGACUCUGUUUUCCAAACUCAGUCAUUCAGAUGCCCCCUAUUUUAUUUCUUCCAUGUCUGCAAAUGAUUAUAAUAUUUUUAAAUGUAGGAUGAGUCCUUUUUAUUACACAUAGAAAUAGCUACUGUAAAUAGCAAACUCUAACACUGUGCCUAAUUAGGAAAUAAAGGUAACCAUAAAUACAGUAAAAAUGAAACAA
This is a long non-coding RNA of Homo sapiens (human), 1392 nucleotides long. Ensembl annotates it as cardiac mesoderm enhancer-associated non-coding RNA. Its record names the gene CARMN. The record is from Ensembl. Lineage: Eukaryota; Metazoa; Chordata; Mammalia; Primates; Hominidae.